This is a long non-coding RNA of Xenia sp. Carnegie-2017, 600 nucleotides long. RefSeq lists it as uncharacterized. The transcript has 3 exons. Lineage: Eukaryota; Metazoa; Cnidaria; Anthozoa; Malacalcyonacea; Xeniidae. The record is from RefSeq and is a predicted model, not a curated record.
UAACGAUAAAUAUAAGUCGUUGUAGACACUUCUGUUGCAUUUUCAUCUCUUUUGACUUCAUGAUUUUAGUUGAUGUAAGAACGAGUUGAUUUCUGUAUAUUUAGCAUUUGUCUUUUGAUUUUUUGCCGUAACCUGUGAAUUUGUUUAACAACUGUAUCUCCGAAUUCGGUAGUUUUUCAUUGCUUUUAGUAAGUUUUGGAGCUUGGCUUGGUUUUUAUUUUCAGAAAGUCUGGUUACGGUGGGGCACACUGAGUAAAUACAUCUAUUUUAUUCAAUGUAUUUGGUUUCAAUGAUCACCACUUAGCAUUCCAGUUAUAUCAUUUCAAUAAAAAUACGCCAUUGAAUUACCAUAGUGAAUAUAUUGAGUGAAUAUAUGCACAGAAAUAUGAAAUACGCCCAUCGAAACUGCAUAUUCAACAACGACAUCACUUAGGUCAAACGUUGCGAAGCAGGAAAUUGGGUCUUUCUGAAAUUCUCACGGAAAAUACCAAAUUACAGGGUGAAAAUGGUAAAGACAAAUUUAGUAUUUUCGACUAUUACAUUGAUCACAUUUCUUGGUCUUGCCAAAGGAACAAUAAUAUCUCCACCUGAUGGUCAAAA